RNAcentral lists this ribosomal RNA (658 nucleotides) under uncultured fungus. Its description in RNAcentral is "LSU rRNA". It matches the Rfam family "Eukaryotic large subunit ribosomal RNA", at positions 23 to 664 of the family's 3401-position model. The record is from RNAcentral. Lineage: Eukaryota; Fungi.
ACCCGCUGAACUUAAGCAUAUCAAUAAGCGGAGGAAAAGAAACUAACAAGGAUUCCCCUAGUAACUGCGAGUGAAGAGGGAAAAGCUCAAAUUUAAAAUCUGGCAGUCUUUGAUUGUCCGAGUUGUAAUUUAGAGAAGUGUUACCCGUGUUGGACCGUGUACAAGUUUCCUGGAAUGGAACGUCAUAGAGGGUGAGAAUCCCGUCUUUGACACGGAUCCCAAUGCAUUGUGGUGCACUCUCGAAGAGUCGAGUUGUUUGGGAAUGCAGCUCUAAAUGGGUGGUAAAUUCCAUCUAAAGCUAAAUAUUGGGGAGAGACCGAUAGCGAACAAGUACCGUGAGGGAAAGAUGAAAAGAACUUUGGAAAGAGAGUUAAACAGUACGUGAAAUUGCUAAAAGGGAAACGCUUGAAGUCAGUCGCGUUAGCCGGGGAUCAGCCUUCCUUUUGGUUGGUGUACUUCCUGGUUGAUGGGUCAGCAUCAGUUUUGAUCGGUGGAUAAAGGUGAGAGGAAUGUGGCAUCUUCGGGUGUGUUAUAGCCUCUUAUUGUAUACAUCGGUUGGGACUGAGGAACUCAGCACGCCGCAAGGCCGGGUUUUUAACCACGUUCGUGCUUAGGAUGCUGGCAUUAAUGGCUUUAAUCGACCCGUCUUGAAACACGG